RNAcentral lists this long non-coding RNA (328 nucleotides) under Crocodylus porosus (Australian saltwater crocodile). RNAcentral's name for it is "lncRNA (ENSCPRG00005001473.1)". Lineage: Eukaryota; Metazoa; Chordata; Crocodylia; Crocodylidae. The record is from RNAcentral.
CUGCCUGGGAGCAGGGGCCAAAGCGUGUCCUGAAAUGGCUCCUCUUCCUCUCCAGGGGGACAGUCCUGACUGCGUGGGGGAGCCCGGGCACCCUGGGAGCCCCGGUCUGCCUGGACAGAGGGGAGAUCAGGGACCGCCUGGCGUGAGGGGAUCCCCGGGACCACCUGGACCCAUUGGUCUCCAAGGUGAGCGUGGACCGGGUGGGCUCCCUGGUGCGAAAGGGGAACCGGGCCCCCCUGGUCAGCCCGGCUAUCCCGGUGCAACAGGACCCCCAGGCCUGCAUGGCAUCAAAGGUGAGCGAGGCCACAUGGGAUCCCCGGGAGAGAAA